GCUGGCGGCGUGCUUAACACAUGCAGUCGAACGAACCUUCGGGUUAGUGGCGGACGGGUGAGUAACGCGUGAGAAUCUGCCCUCAGGAGGGGGAUAACGGUUGGAAACGACCGCUAAUACCCCAUAUGCCGAGAGGUGAAAUGAAUUUCGCCUGAGGAUGAGCUCGCGUCUGAUUAGUUAGUUGGUGGGGUAAUGGCCUACCAAGACAUCGAUCAGUAGCUGGUCUGAGAGGAUGAUCAGCCACACUGGGACUGAGACACGGCCCAGACUCCUACGGGAGGCAGCAGUGGGGAAUUUUCCGCAAUGGGCGAAAGCCUGACGGAGCAACGCCGCGUGAGGGAUGAAGGCCUCUGGGCUGUAAACCUCUUUUAUCAAGGAAGAAGAUCUGACGGUACUUGAUGAAUAAGCCACGGCUAAUUCCGUGCCAGCAGCCGCGGUAAUACGGGAGUGGCAAGCGUUAUCCGGAAUUAUUGGGCGUAAAGCGUCCGCAGGCGGUCUGUCAAGUCUGCUGUUAAAGCGUGGAGCUUAACUCCAUUUCGGCAGUGGAAACUGACAGACU
RNAcentral lists this ribosomal RNA (559 nucleotides) under uncultured Prochlorococcus sp. RNAcentral's name for it is "bacterial SSU rRNA". It matches the Rfam family "Bacterial small subunit ribosomal RNA", at positions 35 to 642 of the family's 1533-position model. Lineage: Bacteria; Bacillati; Cyanobacteriota; Cyanophyceae; Synechococcales; Prochlorococcaceae. The record is from RNAcentral.